GAUAAACGCUGGCGGCGUGCCUAAUCAAUGCGAGUCGUGCGGUCCUUCGGGACAGCGGCGUCCGGGUGAGUAACGCGUAGCUAACCUGCCUACCGGUGGGGGAUACCCGCCAGAAAUGGCGGCUAAUACCGCAUAGCUUGACCAGGGGGCAACCCUGGGCAAGAAAACAGCGAUGUGCCGGCAGAGGGGGCUGCGUCCGAUUAGCUUGACGGUGGGGUAACGGCCUACCGUGGCGACGAUCGGAGCUGGUCUGAGAGGACGGUCAGCCACACUGGGACUGAGACAUGGUCCAGAGCUCUACGGGGUUUAGCAUGAAGGGAUAUUGCGCAAUGGGCGAAAGCCUGACGCAGCAACGCCGCGUGUGGGAUGACGCCUUUC
RNAcentral lists this ribosomal RNA (378 nucleotides) under uncultured bacterium. RNAcentral's name for it is "bacterial SSU rRNA". It matches the Rfam family "Bacterial small subunit ribosomal RNA", at positions 28 to 419 of the family's 1533-position model. The record is from RNAcentral.